AGCCGGGCGUUGGUGGCGCAAGCCUUU
This 27-nucleotide non-coding RNA is filed under the name Cricetulus griseus (Chinese hamster). Lineage: Eukaryota; Metazoa; Chordata; Mammalia; Rodentia; Cricetidae. The record is from RNAcentral.